RNAcentral lists this unclassified non-coding RNA (204 nucleotides) under soil metagenome. RNAcentral's name for it is "partial contains 5.8S ribosomal RNA, internal transcribed spacer 2, and large subunit ribosomal RNA". The record is from RNAcentral.
AACCUUAUGGACCUGCGGGCGUAUACCUGCGGAAGGAUCAUUACCUAGAGUUGUAGGCUUUGCCUGCCAUCUCUUACCCAUGUCUUUUGAGUACCUUACGUUUCCUCGGUGGGUUCGCCCGCCGGUUGGACAAAACUUAAACCCUUUGUAGUUGCAAUCAGCGUCUGAAAAAACUUAAUAGUUACAACUUUUAACAACGGAUCU